The sequence is a non-coding RNA, 350 nucleotides long. It matches the Rfam family "Bacterial RNase P class A". From Rfam's summary of the family: Ribonuclease P (RNase P) is a ubiquitous endoribonuclease, found in archaea, bacteria and eukarya as well as chloroplasts and mitochondria. Its best characterised activity is the generation of mature 5'-ends of tRNAs by cleaving the 5'-leader elements of precursor-tRNAs. The record is from Rfam.
UGAGUUGGCUGGACAGUCGCCGCUUAAGGUAACUUAAGGGGAGGAAAGUCCGGGCUCCAUAGGGCAAAGUGCCAGGUAACGCCUGGGAGGUGAAAGCCUACGGAGAGUGCCGCAGAAAAUAACCGCCUAAGCGCUAUGCGCCGGUAAGGGUGAAAAGGUGCGGUAAGAGCGCACCGCAUGACUGGUAACAGUUCAUGGCUAGGUAAACCCCACUGGGAGCAAGACCAAAUAGGAAUCCAAUAGGUGUGGCCCGCACUGGAUUCGGGUAGGUUGCUUGAGGUGAUUAGCGAUAAUCAUCCUAGAUGAAUGACUGUCCACGACAGAACCCGGCUUAUAGGCCAACUCAUACU